UGCAGUCGAGCGAGGGCAAUUUCUCCGCAAGGAGAGGGCGUUCCUAGCGGCAAACGGGUGAGUAACACGUGGGCAACCUACCCUGUCGUGGGGAAUAAGCUCGGGAAACCGGGUCUAAUGCCGCAUGUGGUCGCCGAAGGCGUCUUCGGUGAAGAAAGCAGCAAUGCGCGACGGGAUGGGCCCGCGGCCUAUCAGCUUGUUGGUGGGGUAACGGCUCACCAAGGCAAUGACGUGUAGCUGGUCUGAGAGGAUGAUCAGCCACACGGGGACUGAGACACGGCCCCGACUCCUACGGGAGGCAGCAGUUUGGAAUCUUCCGCAAUGGGCGAAAGCCCGACGGAGCGACACCGCGUGUGGGAUGAAGACCUUCGGGUUGUAAACCACUGUCGGAGGGGACGAGAAUGGACGAUACCCUCCAAGAAAGCCCCGGCUAACUACGUGCCAGCAGCCGCGGUGAUACGUAGGGGGCGAGCGUUACCCGGAUUUACUGGGCGUAAAGCGCGUGUAGGCGGCUGGUCAAGCGUGAUGUGAAAUCCCCUGGCUCAACCAGGGAACUGCAUUGCGAACUGGCCUGGCUAGAGUGCAGGAGAGGGUGGCGGAAUUCCCGGUGUAGCGGUGAAAUGCGUAGAUAUCGGGAGGAACACCAGUGGCGAAGGCGGCCACCUGGCCUGUAACUGACGCUGAGACGCGAAAGCGUGGGGAGCGAACCGGAUUAGAUACCCGGGUAGUCCACGCCUUAAACUUUGCGAACUAGGUGUUGGCGAGAUUGACCUCGUCAGUGCCGCAGCUAACGCAUUAAGUUCGCCGCCUGGGAAGUACGGUCGCAAGAUUAAAACUCAAAGGAAUAGGCGGGGGCCCGCACAAGCAGCGGAGCGUGUUGUUUAAUUCGAUGCAACGC
Molecule: ribosomal RNA, 898 nt
Filed under: uncultured soil bacterium
Lineage: Bacteria
Description: bacterial SSU rRNA
Rfam family: Bacterial small subunit ribosomal RNA
Source: RNAcentral